RNAcentral lists this ribosomal RNA (279 nucleotides) under uncultured bacterium. RNAcentral's name for it is "partial 16S ribosomal RNA". It matches the Rfam family "Bacterial small subunit ribosomal RNA", at positions 506 to 784 of the family's 1533-position model. The record is from RNAcentral.
UGCCAGCCGCCGCGGUAAUACGGAGGGGGUUAGCGUUGUUCGGAAUUACUGGGCGUAAAGCGCACGUAGGCGGAUCAGAAAGUAUGGGGUGAAAUCCCAGGGCUCAACCCUGGAACUGCCUCAUAAACUCCUGGUCUAGAGUUCGAGAGAGGUGAGUGGAAUUCCUAGUGUAGAGGUGAAAUUCGUAGAUAUUAGGAAGAACACCAGUGGCGAAGGCGACUUUCUGGCUCGUAACUGACGCUGAGGCACGAAAGCGUGGGGAGCAAACAGGAUUAGAUA